RNAcentral lists this long non-coding RNA (575 nucleotides) under Homo sapiens (human). RNAcentral's name for it is "non-protein coding lnc-ABHD3-3:1". Lineage: Eukaryota; Metazoa; Chordata; Mammalia; Primates; Hominidae. The record is from RNAcentral.
AGAAGCAGCUGAGUGUCUCCUGAUACCCGGAUGUGAGGCGAUCCGCUGGCGCUAGUCUGACCCUCCGCCAGGCAAAAGGAAGGAAUCCUGAGAGUCCCCAUAUCACAUUUUGAGCACUACUGCUUUAAGCCUGCCGAGUGCCUGCGAUUGCAGGCGCGCGCCGCCACGCCUGACUGGUUUUCGUAUUUUUUUGGUGGAGACGGGGUUUCGCUGUGUUGGCUGGGCUGGUCUCCAGCUCCUAACCGCGAGUGAUCCACCAGCCUCGCCUCCAGAGGUGCCGGGAUUGCAGACGGUGUCUGGUUCACUCAGUGCUCAAUGGUGCCCAGGCUGGAGUGCAGUGGCGUGAUCUCGGCUCGCUACAACCUCCACCUCCCAGCCGCCUGCCUUGGCCUCCCAAAGUGCCCAGAGUGCAGCCUCUGCCCGGCUGCCACCCCGUCUAGGAAGUGAGGAGCGUCUCUGCCUGGCCACCCAUCGUCUGGGAUGUGAGGAGCCCCUCUGCCUGGCUGCCCAGUCUGGAAAGUGAGGAGCGUCUCUGCCCGGCCGCCAUCCCAUCUAGGAAGUGAGGAGCGCCUCUU